Molecule: ribosomal RNA, 419 nt
Filed under: bacterium
Lineage: Bacteria
Description: partial 16S ribosomal RNA
Rfam family: Bacterial small subunit ribosomal RNA
Source: RNAcentral
UGGGGGAUAUUGCACAAUGGGCGAAAGCCUGAUGCAGCGACGCCGCGUGGGGGAUGAAGGCCUUCGGGUUGUAAACUUCUUUUGCUCUGAACAAGGCGCACCAUGGGGUGUGUUGAGUGUAGGGGUUGAUUAGCGCCGGCUAACUACGUGCCAGCAGCCGCGGUAAUACGUAGGGCGCGAGCGUUGUCCGGAAUUAUUGGGCGUAAAGGGCUUGUAGGUGGCUGGUUGCGUCUGUCGUGAAAGCUCAUGGCUUAACUGUGGGUUUGCGGUGGGUACGGGCUGGCUUGGGUGCAGUAGGGGAGGCUGGAAUUCCUGGUGUAGCGGUGGAAUGCGCAGAUAUCAGGAGGAAGACCGGUGGCGAAGGCGGGUCUCUGGGCUGUUACUGACACUGAGGAGCGAAAGCAUGGGGAGCGAACAGG